GUAAAUAUAGUUUAAGAAAAACAUUAGAUUGUGAAUCUAAUAAUAUGAGCUCAAACCUCCUUAUUUACCGAAAAAGAAUGCAAGAACUGCUAAC
Molecule: transfer RNA, 94 nt
Filed under: Zalophus californianus (California sea lion)
Lineage: Eukaryota; Metazoa; Chordata; Mammalia; Carnivora; Otariidae
Description: transfer RNA-His
Rfam family: tRNA (bases 1-69)
About the family: Transfer RNA (tRNA) molecules are approximately 80 nucleotides in length. Their secondary structure includes four short double-helical elements and three loops (D, anti-codon, and T loops). Further hydrogen bonds mediate the characteristic L-shaped molecular structure. tRNAs have two regions of fundamental functional importance: the anti-codon, which is responsible for specific mRNA codon recognition, and the 3' end, to which the tRNAs corresponding amino acid is attached (by aminoacyl-tRNA synthetases). tRNAs cope with the degeneracy of the genetic code in two manners: having more than one tRNA (with a specific anti-codon) for a particular amino acid; and 'wobble' base-pairing, i.e. permitting non-standard base-pairing at the 3rd anti-codon position.
Source: RNAcentral